RNAcentral lists this ribosomal RNA (232 nucleotides) under uncultured bacterium. RNAcentral's name for it is "partial 16S ribosomal RNA". It matches the Rfam family "Bacterial small subunit ribosomal RNA", at positions 99 to 334 of the family's 1533-position model. The record is from RNAcentral.
CGGACGGGUGAGUAAUGUCUGGGAAACUGCCUGAUGGAGGGGGGUAACUACUGGAAACGGUAGCUAAUACCGCAUAAUGUCGCAAGACCAAAGAGGGGGACCUUCGGGCCUCUUGCCAUCGGAUGUGCCCAGAUGGGAUUAGCUAGUAGGUGGGGUAACGGCUCACCUAGGCGACGAUCCCUAGCUGGUCUGAGAGGAUGACCAGCCACACUGGAACUGAGACACGGUCCAG